This 982-nucleotide ribosomal RNA is filed under the name Lucanus laetus. RNAcentral describes it as "partial 16S ribosomal RNA". The stretch from base 451 to 608 matches the Rfam family "Archaeal large subunit ribosomal RNA", at positions 1884 to 2089 of the family's 2987-position model. The record is from RNAcentral. Lineage: Eukaryota; Metazoa; Arthropoda; Insecta; Coleoptera; Lucanidae.
UAAAACUAGUUUUAAUAGGGAAAUUUUCUCGAAUUUUAGAGGGCUAAGAAUUAAUAUAUUUUAAUGUGGAAAAAUUAUUUAUAAUUAAUUUUUUGUAAUUAGACGUUAGUCGUUCUUUAUUAUAUCUGGUUUCUUAAGAAAUUAAUUUAAUUAACUGGAGUGGAAUGUUUUUGAUUGGAGAGUUAGUUUUUCAUGUCUGGAAUAUUUAAGGGGAUGAGCUUUUAAAUAGAUUUUUAUAACAGGAAAGGUCUUGAUGAUAUAUAGGAUUAGAAGUUUCCAGUUUAGUGUGUUUUUACUGAAUUUUGAGUAAGAUUAAUUUUUUUUUGUUUAAGUUUUUUAUUAGGAUAAUAGCUUUAAUGAGUAGGUUUUGUAAUAAUGAUGAAAUUAGUAGAAUUAAAUGUAUUAGGAUAAUACAGGGUUUAAUAUUAUUUUAAGGAAUUAGGCAAAUUUCUUUUCGCCUGUUUAAUAAAAACAUGGCUUUUUGUUAAUUAUAUAAAGUCAGGCCUGCCCAAUGAUAAUUUAAAUGGCUGCGGUAUAUUGACCGUGCAAAGGUAGCAUAAUCAUUAGUUUUUUUAUUGAAAGCUGGAAUGAAGGGUUUAACGAGAAAGAAGCUGUCUUGAUUUAAUAAUUUGAAUUUUAUAUUUGAGUGAGAAAGCUUAAAUUUGUGUGAGGGACGAGAAGACCCUAUAGAAUUUAAUAGUUAAGUUUUAUUAGUUUUUUGGAUUAGGAAUUCUGGUAUAGGCAAGAAUUAUUUUGUUGGGGUGAUGGGAAAAUUUGAUUAACUUUUCUUUUUUAGUUUUCACUGAUAAGUGAUUUCAUGAUCCAUUAGAAUUGAUUAUAAGAAAAAAUUACCUUAGGGAUAACAGCGUUAUUAAUCUGGAGAGUCCAAAUCGAUAGAUUAGUUUGCGACCUCGAUGUUGGAUUAAAAUUAGCUUUUGGUGAAGGGACUAGAUAGCUGAGUCUGUUCGACUUUUAAAAUUUU